RNAcentral lists this ribosomal RNA (254 nucleotides) under uncultured Flavobacteriaceae bacterium. RNAcentral describes it as "partial 16S ribosomal RNA". It matches the Rfam family "Bacterial small subunit ribosomal RNA", at positions 524 to 776 of the family's 1533-position model. Lineage: Bacteria; Pseudomonadati; Bacteroidota; Flavobacteriia; Flavobacteriales; Flavobacteriaceae. The record is from RNAcentral.
UACGGAGGAUCCAAGCGUUAUCCGGAAUCAUUGGGUUUAAAGGGUCCGUAGGCGGCCUUAUAAGUCAGCGGUGAAAGUUUUCAGCUUAACUGAAAAAUUGCCAUUGAUACUGUAGGGCUUGAAUUUUUUGUGAAGUAACUAGAAUAUGUAGUGUAGCGGUGAAAUGCUUAGAUAUUACGCAGAACACCAAUUGCGAAGGCAGGUCACUAAGCCUCAACUGACGCUGAUGGACGAAAGCGUGGGGAGCGAACAGG